This is a long non-coding RNA of Pavo cristatus (Indian peafowl), 1589 nucleotides long. The record is from Ensembl. Lineage: Eukaryota; Metazoa; Chordata; Aves; Galliformes; Phasianidae.
GCUCCGCCCCGCCCCGUCUCCCGGCACCGCGGCCGCUGGCGGCGGCUCUGCCGCGGGGGGUCCCCGCGCCCGCCCGGCCCGGGCACCGUGCCGCUUUGCGGGGCUGGGGGCUGCUCGGGGGGCCUCUCCGCGUCCCGCCGGCCCCACCCGCACCACCGCGGACGCGGUCCCGUUACGCGGGCGUCGGUGGGGGCGAGCGCUGCGCGGGGGCGCCUCUGGGUCGGGCCCCGGGGCCGGAGCUGCGGGCGCCGAGCGGGACGGGCCCCGCGGAUACGGCCGCUGGCUGCGGUGCCCCCGUGCCCCUUGGGCUGACGCGCUCCCGGUAGCGGUUCCCCGGUGGAGGUUCGGGGCUGGGGCCGGGAAGGAGCGAUUGGGCUUCUGUUGUGGCGCCCUUUCUCUGCGUGGCCGAGCGCAGCGCCGGAGCAGCCAACUGGCGUUACCCCGCCGCGGGUACUGCGAAAAGCGGAGCUCUGUCCGCGCUCCAGCGGCGUGACCGCGAGUCCCCAUCGCAGGGAUUCCUUACAGGCGAGACCCGUUCCUAACACCUGUUUGGGGUGGGCUACGGGGAAGUUUUUUUUCUUCUUUUUCGGUUGCCUUCGAGGAUGGAGAUGGAGGCGCGCAGGAGAGCCCCGCGCAGCGGAGGGCUGGGGAGGGCGGGCCGCGGGCACUGCCUGUCCUCUGGCGGCGCGGCCCCGCGGGACGGGCACGGCUCCGGGCACACGGGCGGCCGGCUGCCGUCCGCUGGCGGACGGCGUCAGGGCGGCGGAUGGGACGCGCACGGCUUGGGAAAGAAGUUUCUGGAGAGACAAAUCAAGAAGAAACCCAGGUGAAAAACAUAGUUUAUCUUCCUCCACCCAAGGUCGUCGUUCCACAGCCGUAUGCAGGGACUCUGGAGCAGUGGGUGCUGCAUGGGACAGACAGCCCUCCAAGCGGCGGUGUGCCCGGUGGCAGCAGGCAUCCGGCCUGAGCUCCUGCCAGGCCGCCGGUUCCUGCUGCACUAAAUCAGUUCUUCCAGAGUCAAUGGCUCCUCUCAGUGACUCACAGGAGGUGCAAAUCCAGCGGGGCAAAUUAAGCAUAGCAACAUAGCAGCAGAAUAGCCAGAAGGCUUCAGCAGCUCAAAUCCAACUGUGUGUUGUGAGUUUUGCAGAAGGAAGCUGAGGCAUCAGGACUGCACACAGCUGCUUUCCCAGCACCAGCUAAAGAGAAGGUCUUGGACAUGGAUCCCAUAUGACCUCAGGAGAAACUUUUUUCAUAGCUUCCAGCUUUGGGCUUCAGUGUGCAGGAUUUCCCUGUGGAGCAGUACUGCAUGUAAACUGACAUCUUUAUUAAAAUGAAAUGAGCAAGCUCAAAGGAAAAUUGGUGAUGAUCACAAAGGGUUACUGGAGCAGGGUUAACCUGAUUGCAAUCAAUAGAACAGUGCUUGAGCAAUUCUUGAUCAAAGAACACUUGUGGGCUGUGGUCCAUAACGGUUUUCAACUGUUGCCUGCCUUAGUCCACCUCAUAGCUGCACCUUAGAGACAAUUGCCUUCUGCCUCUAUCUGUGUUGUGGAGCUCUGCAGCCCAGAAUGUCUGCUCUUCAGUACGUUCAG